AGUGAACGCUGGCGGUAGGCCUAACACAUGCAAGUCGAACGGCAGCACAGUAAGAGCUUGCUCUUACGGGUGGCGAGUGGCGGACGGGUGAGGAAUACAUCGGAAUCUACUUUUUCGUGGGGGAUAACGUAGGGAAACUUACGCUAAUACCGCAUACGACCUACGGGUGAAAGCAGGGGAUCUUCGGACCUUGCGCGAUUGAAUGAGCCGAUGUCGGAUUAGCUAGUUGGCGGGGUAAAUGCCCACCAAGGCGACGAUCCGUAGCUGGUCUGAGAGGAUGAUCAGCCGCACUGGAACUGAGACACGGUCCAGACUCCUACGGGAGGCAGCAGUGGGGAAUAUUGGACAAUGGGCGCAAGCCUGAUCCAGCCAUACCGAGUGGGUGAAGAAGGCCUUCGGGUUGUAAAGCCCUUUUGUUGGGAAAGAAAAGCAGCAGGUUAAUACCCCGCUGUUCUGACGGUACCCAAAGAAUAAGCACCGGCUAACUUCGUG
RNAcentral lists this ribosomal RNA (492 nucleotides) under uncultured bacterium. Its description in RNAcentral is "partial 16S ribosomal RNA". It matches the Rfam family "Bacterial small subunit ribosomal RNA", at positions 29 to 507 of the family's 1533-position model. The record is from RNAcentral.